GAUGAAGAACGCAGCGAAAUGCGAUAAGUAAUGUGAAUUGCAGAAUUCAGUGAAUCAUCGAAUCUUUGAACGCACAUUGCGCCCGCCAGUAUUCUGGCGGGCAUGCCUGUUCGAGCGUCAUUUCAACCAUCAAGCCCCUAGGGCGUGGUGUUGGGGAUCGGCCAAAGCCCGCGAGGGACGGCCGGCCCCUAAAUCUAGUGGCGGACCCGUCGUGGCCUCCUCUGCGAAGUAGUGAUAUUCCGCAUCGGAGAGCGAUGAGCCCCUGCCGUUAAACCCCCAACUUUCCAAGGUUGACCUCAGAUCAGGUAGGAAUACCCGCUGAACUUAAGCAUAUCAAUAAGCGGAGGA
Molecule: unclassified non-coding RNA, 348 nt
Filed under: soil metagenome
Description: partial contains 5.8S ribosomal RNA, internal transcribed spacer 2, and large subunit ribosomal RNA
Rfam family: 5.8S ribosomal RNA (bases 1-120)
Source: RNAcentral